AUUAGCUGACGAGUCCCGAAUAGGACGAAAUGUGCAUCCUGGAU
RNAcentral lists this non-coding RNA (44 nucleotides) under Trichobilharzia regenti. Lineage: Eukaryota; Metazoa; Platyhelminthes; Trematoda; Strigeidida; Schistosomatidae. The record is from RNAcentral.